GGAUAAGCUAAUAAGGGCGCACGGAGGAUGCCUAGGCGCUAGGAGCCGAAGAAGGACGUGGCGAACUACGAUAAUGCCUCGGGGAGUCGUAAGCAGGCUUCGAUCCGGGGAUGUCCGAAUGGGGAAACCCGGCUGCGGUAAUACGCAGUCACCUGUUGCUGAAUACAUAGGCAGCAUGGAGGCACACCCAGGGAACUGAAACAUCUAAGUACCUGGAGGAAAAGAAAACAAACGUGAUUCCGUCAGUAGCGGCGAGCGAACGCGGAAAAGCCCAAACCGAUCCCUUCGGGGAUCGGGGUUGUAGGACGUCGAUAUGGCAAAAGCAGGUUAGGCGAAGCGGUCUGGAAAGGCCGGCCACAGAAGGUAAAAGCCCUGUAACCGAAAGCUUGCGUAUGCCUAGACGGAUCCUGAGUACGGCGGGGCACGGGAAACCCCGUCGGAAUCCGGCAGGACCAUCUGCCAAGGCUAAAUACUCCCUAGCGACCGAUAGCGAAGCAGUACCGUGAGGGAAAGGUGAAAAGCACCCCGGGAGGGGAGUGAAAUAGAACCUGAAACCGUGCGCUUACAAAAAGUCAGAGGCCAUUAACGGCUGAUGGCGUGCCUUUUGUAGAAUGAACCGGCGAGUUACGUUCCCGUGCGAGGUUAAGCCGAAGAGGUGGAGCCGCAGCGAAAGCGAGUCUGAAUAGGGCGAAUCAGUACGUGGACGUAGACCCGAAACCGUGUGAUCUACCCCUGCCCAGGGUGAAGGUGCGGUAACACGCACUGGAGGCCCGAACCCACGAGCGUUGAAAAGCUCGGGGAUGAGGUGGGGGUAGCGGAGAAAUUCCAAUCGAACUCGGAGAUAGCUGGUUCUCCCCGAAAUAGCUUUAGGGCUAGCCUCGGAAAUGAGUCGCGGAGGUAGAGCACUGAUUGGGUGCGGGGCCCGCCAAGGGUUACCAAGUCCAGUCAAACUCCGAAUGCCGCAAACUUGAAUUCCGGGAGUCAGACGGCGAGUGCUAAGAUCCGUCGUCAAGAGGGAAAGAGCCCAGAUCAUCAGCUAAGGUCCCCAAGUGCGUGUUAAGUGGGAAAGGAUGUGGAGUUGCACAGACAACCAGGAUGUUGGCUUAGAAGCAGCCACCAUUUAAAGAGUGCGUAAUAGCUCACUGGUCGAGUGACUCUGCGCCGAAAAUGUAACGGGGCUAAACACGCCACCGAAGCUAUGGCUCGUACAACUUGUUGUACUUGGGUAGGGGAGCGUUGU
This 1240-nucleotide ribosomal RNA is filed under the name Paenibacillus oceani. Its description in RNAcentral is "Bacterial large subunit ribosomal RNA". It matches the Rfam family "Bacterial large subunit ribosomal RNA", at positions 1 to 1242 of the family's 2925-position model. Lineage: Bacteria; Bacillati; Bacillota; Bacilli; Caryophanales; Paenibacillaceae. The record is from Rfam by way of RNAcentral.